RNAcentral lists this long non-coding RNA (3229 nucleotides) under Sus scrofa (pig). Its description in RNAcentral is "lncRNA (ENSSSCG00000058284.1)". The record is from RNAcentral. Lineage: Eukaryota; Metazoa; Chordata; Mammalia; Artiodactyla; Suidae.
GAGGGUGCCUAUUAUUAAACACUCACCAGCACAACACUGGGCUUUUCUGAUGUCUUAUUUCCUAUCUGCUACUCACUGGUUGUGGAUCUUUAUCAUGAAGAACAAAUUAAUGCCGAACUAAUUAUCUUACAGAAUGUUUUAUCCUCCAAAAUCUGACCUGGACUUUGUACAUAAUGUUUCUUCAGAAGUUAUGGUCAGUCGAAUGCACUGUUAAUGAAAUGCAGGUUUAUAUUCCCAUUGUAAUUAUGGGUUCUGGUGAUCUUUGAAAAAGAUGGAUGCCCAUUUUCUCUAUUUCAAAUUGUUUGCCACAAGAAAGCAAUUACCUUUAUUUAAUGUCUACAUACUGUGGCUAUAUUUUUUAACACUGCUACACAUUAGCCAUACUCAUGUCUUUUCAUGUGAUCUAUAUGACAAUUAAAUUUUAAAACCUCAUUUCUUCGUCUUAUGCAUAUUAUAGCAAACUUUCUAAUUUAACAAAUUCUAUCUCUUGUGGGGUCGACAAAUACAAACAGUACAAAACAUAGAGAAACCCCUAAGCUAAUUUGAAAGUAAUUUAUUUUUAAAAAUUUCAUAUUAUUUGCUUUAUCCUCCCCUAAUUUUUAUACUCUUAUUUCUUGACCUUUAUUACUAUUUUUAGUACUACAUAAUAUUAUAGGGUCAUUUCUAAUUAGUAACAGGCAAUAAAUAAAACAAAUCUGUCAUUCCUGGAACCAGUAAAAAUUGUGAGUUACAAAGUUUCAAUUCUUUUGAGUUUAAGCAAGAGUUUUAAAGUUGUUUAUAUAUGAAGUAUAUUUUUGGUAGAUAUUUGGUAGCAUAAUUAUCUUUUAAAAACUUGCAUUACUGUAAUUAAUUACCACGUGCAUGUUAUCACCAGGAUCUCUGCUUAUAGGCAUAAUGAUUUCCUUAGUAAAUGAAGGAAGCAAACCUGCUGUGGGUUUUUUGUUUUUGUUUAUUUCCAAAAUUUAUCCCAAAACUGACUCUCACAAUCUCCACAGCUAUAGAUCUGGUCCGGUCAACAUCUCUUCCUUAGCUCAUGGCAAUUAUCCUCGUCUUAGUCCAUUCAGGCUAGUGCAGCAAAAUAAAGCAGACGGAGUAGCUUAUAAACAAUGGAAAUUUAUUUCUCACUGUUCUGGGGCUGAGGAGCUCAAGACUGAGGUGCUAGCAUGGUUUCAUUCUGGUGAGGGCACGCUUCCUCAUUCAUAGCUGCUGACUUCUUGCUCUGCCCUCAGGUAAGCAAGGAUGGAAAAGACAGGGAUGUGGAAAGGCAGGGAUCUCUGUUGUGUGUCAAUUAUAAGGCACUAAUCCUAUUCAUGAAGACUCCCCCUCAUGACUAAGCACUACCCAAAAGCCCCGCCUCCUUACACGAUCACUUUGGGGGUUAGGAUAUCAACAUAUGAAUGGUGGGGACACAGACCAUAGCAGUCCUCCAACUCGUGUUCCUGUUUCUGUCCUUGCCUUCCUACAACCAGUUCUCCACACAGCAACCAGAGCUGUUAUUCGAAAGGUAUAUGAGACCUGCUGCAUCCCACAGGGACUUCCCAUCACACUCAGAGCUAAAGUCCACAGUCCAUGUAAUAGCUUACGAAUGAACCCUCUGUCAUCUGCGUCGUUUCUUCUCUGACUUCAUCUCCUCUCUCUCUUCCCAACUCUAGCUGCUCCAGCCACACUGCCCUCCACGUUUUGUUUUGUACUGUUUCUCAAUACAGCCUUCAUGUUUGCAUAGUGGAUAUUUCCAUUAGCUAUACACAUUGGCCUGGAAUGCUUUUUUCUCUAAAAUUUGCACAGAUCACUUUCUCACCUCUUUAAAGUUUUUGCUUAAACGUCAUAGUUGUCAGUGAAUCAUUGCUGAUUACCAUGUCUAAAAAUGCAACCUGCCCUCAUCUCUGGCCUUCUGCUUUCACUGUCUCAGAAUAUUUAUAACUUGUUAACUUAUUAUAAUCUAGCCAUUAUGUUAAUGUAUACUGCCUGUCACCUGAAGCCAUAUUAUAUAUUACAUGUAUUCACAGAGUGCCUUUAAUAAUUUUGAAGAAAAGAGGGAAGAAAAAAGAAGGAAACUGAAUCCAAAAGUAAAAUAUAAAAAAAGAAAAUGCAGUGAAUACAGAAAUUGGUAAAGACCAAAAAAAACAAAACAAACAAAAAAAAAAACAACAACAACAACAAAAAAAUUGGAGUUCCCGUCGUGGUGCAGUGGUUAACGAAUCCGACUAGGAACCAUGAGGUUGCGGGUUCGAUCCCUGGCCUUGCUCAGUGGGUUAAGGAUCCAGCGUUGCCGUGAGCUGUGCUGUAGGUUGCAGAUUCGGCUCGGAUCCCGUGUUCCUGUGGCUCUGGCAUAGGCCGGUGGCUAUAGCUCCGAUUGGACCCCUAGCCUGGGAACCUCCAUAUGCCAUGGGAGCAGUCCAAGAAAUGGCAAAAAAAAAAAAAAAAAAAAGACAAAAAAUGGAGUCAGAAGCAAAAUUCUAUUAAUUACGAAAAGAUGAGACCCUGGAAGAUUUAAAGAAUUUUACCGAACUUAUAUGAACUCAUAUGAUUUAUAUUAUAGUCACUACAUUGUACCUCAUCAACACUCUCUAAAUCUAGAGCAUUUAAAUCACCCAGAAGAAAUCAUGUACUAUCAGCAGUCAGUCCCAAUUUCCCUCUCUCCUCAUCCCUUGACAAUCACUACAUAACACUUGUUUUUAAAUGAUAAUUAGUAACAAGAGUGAGAGUGUUCACAUAGAUAGACUUGAACAAAUCCAGUUUGGAAGGCGAAAGAAGUGUUUUCUUCACUGCUCUCUACCUCAGGUUAACUAUGAGUAGUAAUCAGCAUGGAAAGCUUUCCAUUAAGCAAAUUUCUCUCCUGGUAGUACUAUAAUUAAAGCUGUUAAUAAACACAUCUCCAAGUUCAGUUCUUGAAGAGUCAGUUAAGUAUAAAUUCAUAAUGCUAACUUGCACUGUGCUGCAUUUUUGAGAUUGUAGAAAUGUGCAUGCAUUUGUAUGUCAUAAGUUAUUGAGUUCAGUCAACACAAUUUAGGUAUAUUGAGUAAUUACGACAGUAUGCAAACCUUUUAAAAUCGGCGAAUGUUUAAGCAGCAUUCAGCCUACUUCAGCAUAACCUAGUCUAUGGCUUCUGGUGGGCAAGAAAGAAAUUUAAACCUUCUCCUGAGGAAUUUUCCAGUCUCCAUCUAAACUCCACCUUUGCUGGGUCUGCUGACAAGCAUCACCUCUCUCAGAAGCCUCAUCUGAUCACUCU